Molecule: ribosomal RNA, 468 nt
Filed under: uncultured bacterium
Lineage: Bacteria
Description: partial 16S ribosomal RNA
Rfam family: Bacterial small subunit ribosomal RNA
Source: RNAcentral
GACGAACGCUGGCGGCGUGCUUAACACAUGCAAGUCGAACGGAAAGGCCCUGCUUUUGUGGGGUUCUCGAGUGGCGAACGGGUGAGUAACACGUGAGUAACCUGCCCUUGACUUUGGGAUAACUUCAGGAAACUGGGGCUAAUACCGGAUAGGAGCUCCUGCUGCAUGGUGGGGGUUGGAAAGCUUCGGCGGUUGGGGAUGGACUCGCGGCUUAUCAGCUUGUUGGUGGGGUAGUGGCUUACCAAGGCUUUGACGGGUAGCCGGCCUGGGAGGGUUACCGGCCACAUUGGGACUGAGAUACGGACCAGUCUCCUACGGGAGGCAGCAGUGGGGAAUAUUGCACAAUGGGCGGAAGCCUGAUGCAGCAGCGCCGCGUGCGGGAUGCCGGCCUUCGGGUUGUAAACCGCUUUCGCCUGUGACGAAGCGUGAGUGACGGUAAUGGGUAAAGAAGCACCGGCUAACUACGUG